CCUACGGGUGGCAGCAGUGAGGAAUAUUGGUCAAUGGACGGAAGUCUGAACCAGCCAUGCCGCGUGCAGGAAGACGGCUCUAUGAGUUGUAAACUGCUUUUGUACAAGGGUAAACCUGAAUACGUGUAUUCAGCUGAAAGUACUGUACGAAUAAGGAUCGGCUAACUCCGUGCCAGCAGCCGCGGUAAUACGGAGGAUCCAAGCGUUAUCCGGAUUUAUUGGGUUUAAAGGGUGCGUAGGCAGAUUGAUAAGUUAGAGGUGAAAUGUCCGGGCUUAACUAGGGAAGUGCCUCUAAUACGGUUGAACGAGAGAGUAGAUGCGGAAGGGGGAAAGUAGGGUGUAGCGGGUAA
This 350-nucleotide ribosomal RNA is filed under the name uncultured bacterium. RNAcentral describes it as "partial 16S ribosomal RNA". It matches the Rfam family "Bacterial small subunit ribosomal RNA", at positions 338 to 685 of the family's 1533-position model. The record is from RNAcentral.